RNAcentral lists this ribosomal RNA (253 nucleotides) under uncultured prokaryote. RNAcentral describes it as "partial 16S ribosomal RNA". It matches the Rfam family "Bacterial small subunit ribosomal RNA", at positions 524 to 776 of the family's 1533-position model. The record is from RNAcentral.
UAUGUAGGGGGCAAGCGUUAUCCGGAUUUACUGGGCGUAAAGGGAGUGUAGGUGGUUCUGUAAGUAGGGCGUGAAAGCUCCCGGCUCAACUGGGAGAGGCCGUUCUAAACUGCAGAGCUAGAGGAUGGUAGAGGGAGGUGGAAUUCCAGGUGUAGCGGUGGAAUGCGCAGAUAUCUGGAGGAACACCAGUGGCGAAAGCGGCCUCCUGGACCAUUCCUGACACUCAGACGCGAAAGCUAGGGUAGCAAACGGG